Molecule: ribosomal RNA, 441 nt
Filed under: uncultured bacterium
Lineage: Bacteria
Description: partial 16S ribosomal RNA
Rfam family: Bacterial small subunit ribosomal RNA
Source: RNAcentral
CCUAUGGGAGGCAGCAGUGGGGAAUAUUGCACAAUGGGGGAAACCCUGAUGCAGCGACGCCGCGUGAGUGAAGAAGUCUUUCCGUAUGUAAAGCUCUAUCAGCAGGAACGCGACAAGCCGGUACCGGACUAAGACGCCCCGGCUAACUACGUGCCAGCAGCCGCGGUCAUACGUAGGGGGCAAGCUUUAUCCGGAAUCACUGGGUGUAAAGGGAGCGUAGACGGCUGUGCAAGUCUGAAGUGAAAGGCGGGGGCCCAACCCCGGGACUGCUGUGGGAACUGUAGGGCUGGAGUGCAGGAGAGGUAAGUGGAAUUCGUAGUGUAGCGGUGAAAUGCGUAGAUAUUAGGCGGAACACCAGUGGCGAAGGCGGCUUACUGGACUGUAACUGACGUUGAGGCUCGAAAGCGUGGGGAGCGAACAGGAUUAGAUACCCUUGUAGUC